This 627-nucleotide ribosomal RNA is filed under the name uncultured archaeon. Its description in RNAcentral is "bacterial SSU rRNA". It matches the Rfam family "Archaeal small subunit ribosomal RNA", at positions 147 to 774 of the family's 1478-position model. The record is from RNAcentral.
UAAUACUGGAUAGGCAAUUAUUCCUGUAAUGGUUUUUUGUUUAAAUGUUUUUUCGCCUAAGGAUGGGUCUGCGGCCGAUUAGGUAGUUGGUUAGGUAAUGGCUUACCAAGCCUUUGAUCGGUACGGGUUGUGAGAGCAAGAGCCCGGAGAUGGAACCUGAGACAAGGUUCCAGGCCCUACGGGGUGCAGCAGGCGCGAAACCUCCGCAAUGUGAGAAAUCGCGACGGGGGGAUCCCAAGUGCCAUUCUUAAUGGGAUGGCUUUUCAUUAGUGUAAAGAGCUUUUGGAAUAAGAGCUGGGCAAGACCGGUGCCAGCCGCCGCGGUAACACCGGCAGCUCUAGUGGUAGCAGUUUUUAUUGGGCCUAAAGCGUCCGUAGCCGGUUUAAUAAGUCUCUGGUGAAAUCCUGCAGCUUAACUGUGGGAAUUGCUGGAGAUACUAUUAGACUUGAGAUCGGGAGAGGUUAGAGGUACUCCCAGGGUAGAGGUGAAAUUCUGUAAUCCUGGGAGGACCGCCUGUUGCGAAGGCGUCUGACUGGAACGAUUCUGGCGGUGAGGGACGAAAGCUAGGGGCGCGAACCGGAUUAGAUACCCGGGUAGUCCUAGCUGUAAACGAUGCGGACUUGGUGU